This 100-nucleotide ribosomal RNA is filed under the name Stenotrophomonas maltophilia. Lineage: Bacteria; Pseudomonadati; Pseudomonadota; Gammaproteobacteria; Lysobacterales; Lysobacteraceae. The record is from RNAcentral. RNAcentral also lists the same sequence under 1 other name.
CCUGGUGAAAUUAGCGCUGUGGAACCACCCGAUCCCAUCCCGAACUCGGAAGUGAAACGCAGCUGCGCCGAUGGUAGUGUGGCUCAAGCCAUGCGAGAGU